UUUGCUGAUUGCCAAACAGACUGCACUAUCUGGAUCCAAAUCCCAGGGACUUCGCUAAUUCUUCAGGAGGACAGUUCAACCACCUUUAUCAAGAAAGACAGUUACAGAAUCUGAUUAAAAUGUGUUUCCUUUUAUCAGAAAGAAACCUACUAGCAAACUUUCCAAGGAUCUGACCUCUUGAAAACACUGGAUGGCUAAGAGAUGCCUGACCAGGAAAGCCAUUACUUUCUUACUGCAGGAAUGUGCCAGCACAGGGGGGUCUUUUCAAAAGUGAGGUGGAAAUUCAGGAUAAAACCAGGAGAUUUAAAGUAGGGUGAUCUGGAGAAUGACAAAAAGAUCAGAGAGGGGUGGGGAGGAUUAUGGAAGAAAGGAGAAAAGAUGAGCUGAGCUGGAGGAGAGGGUAAAGUCUUUCCAUAGAUUUAAAUAAGCUUUGGGCAAUUAUCUGAACUUCCAAGGGAAUUAUCUGAACCACGCAUCUAAAUUUGUUGAGAUUCCUUCAUUGUAGCUAGUAUCUGGUUAAGGUUUGCAAGGUAAACUCGCUUUCUUGUGCCAUGAGUGGCUUACAAGUCAAAAAAGAUUCAGUGAAAUCUUCAAAGUAAAGCUGUGCUCGCCAAAGCAAUUUGCAGGCCUGUUUACAGCUGUCCCAUCUGUCUCCUAGGCUGGCUCCACGGAUGCGAACUUUGGACACCACAUCUGUUGUUUGAACGCGGAUCUCAUCUUGUCAAAAGGAACAAGGGGGCCCUCUGGCCCACGAUUUUAGUCAAUACCUUAGCAAGGACUUCAGAAGCUUCCCUACAAGAGAGAAGUUCUCCAAGCAACUCGUGGACAGUGAAAUAAUUAAAGAGAUCCACAAGCAUAACGCUUGCCAGAAACAUCAUUAGAAGCAUCAUUUGGAAUUCCGUAUUAUAACGUGGCUCAGCACGUUAAACACACCCAGACACAAAUAAAUUUGAAGCACUCGGAUAAUCGGCUUGUAAAUUGAAACAGAUAACGAGAAGGGAGAAUUUGGCAAAGAGCUCGGAGUCAGGAGAAGAGGCAAAUUCCCCAGGGCUCUCCCAAAGGCUCCCUUUAUGGAUGUUUGAAUUUGGGCCUUACUCCGCAUAGUAGAUGGCAGCAUAAGUUCAGUUGGACACAGAAGGUGCGCUUACGAAACGGACAGAAAUGAAAUCUGAGAGAAAUACGCGGGCCCUUUGUGAGGUGUGGAGAUACAUUUCGAAAAGAGCCCUGGGAACAAGGAAAGGAAGUUUAUGGGAAACAUUUAAAAGGAGCAAUCACCUGGGCCCAGGUACCAUUACUUUUCUCUCCUUACUAAUUUUAUGAAGUGUUUUGACUGAGAAACAAACCCUCGUACACACAACACACACAUCUGUUGUCUGAAGGGCCCCUCACGGCCCUCCUGAUGCAGAUUGUUUCAUACGAGGUUGACGGGACAACUGUUCGAUUUCCGGUGGUUUCACAUUUUUUGUGGUUUUAUUUUAGACGGUACGUUGUCAGAUCCCAUCAUCUUUAGCAAUCGGUUGUUUUCGCAGAAGCGAAUUUAACUUUCAUGCAUUGGUUGCAUUUCCUUCCUCAGUUACUAAUUACCGAAGAUUAAUGUUUUCAAACGAGGCCUUCUCUCCAUGUAAUCCAUCUCUCCUUCCUGCUUCCAUCCAGCAGGAAGCCUGCGGAAAGAGGUCAUAAUCCUCUGGUUUGCGACGCUAUCGUCUCUGACACCGGGGAUGUUUCGUGUGCAGUGACUGCAGUCAGAAUCUUUGUGAGCAACUGGAAAGUGGAGAUGGUGGGGGGAAAAAAAAUUAAAGUAGGUUUUCUUCGGUGGGUGAAUGAACUGGGCUGGAUUCUUGGCUCAGCGCGGGAAGGACCUGCCUUUCAAAGGACGGCCUUGACGCUCACUGACGCGCAAUGUGCCACACCGUGCGGUACCCUGUUAACUCUACCCAAGCGCCAGUUUCUUUACUAUCCACUUCCUGUCUCUCAGUCACGCUGACUCUAUGAAUUAUAACCCAGACAGUAGUGCUCUUCCUGGGCUGGGCCCUCCUGGAAAUUUCUCCUGUCUUGCGGACAUGCAGGUAUGGAUCAGUUGUUGUCUAUGUCCAUGCAAUUAUCCUUUUUGAUAUAUGCACUCCUAUUACUUUUAUAACUUUUUGGGCAACUUUUAUAAUUUUAUGACAAUUAGCAGGUUCCAUUUCAAAAUCCUUUUAGUGGGUCACCUCGGUGGCUCAGUCGGUUGAGUGUCUGACUUCGGCUCAGGUCAUGAUCUCACGGUUCAGUUCCUGAGUUUGAGCUCGGCUUCAGGCUCUUUGCUGAGAGC
This is a long non-coding RNA of Felis catus (domestic cat), 2308 nucleotides long. RefSeq lists it as uncharacterized. Lineage: Eukaryota; Metazoa; Chordata; Mammalia; Carnivora; Felidae. The record is from RefSeq and is a predicted model, not a curated record. The transcript has 3 exons.